UACGGAGGAUCCAAGCGUUAUCCGGAAUUACUGGGCGUAAAGAGUUGCGUAGGUGGCAUUGUAAGUCUGUAGUGAAAGCGUGGGGCUCAACCCCAUACACAUUAUGGAAACUGCAAAGCUAGAGGACAAGAGAGGUUAUUGGAAUUCCUAGUGUAGGAGUGAAAUCCGUAGAUAUUAGGAGGAACACCGUUGGCGUAGGCAGAUAACUGGCUUGUUCCUGACACUAAGGCGCGAAAGCGUGGGGAGCAAACAGG
This 254-nucleotide ribosomal RNA is filed under the name uncultured bacterium. Its description in RNAcentral is "partial 16S ribosomal RNA". It matches the Rfam family "Bacterial small subunit ribosomal RNA", at positions 524 to 776 of the family's 1533-position model. The record is from RNAcentral.